This 253-nucleotide ribosomal RNA is filed under the name uncultured bacterium. RNAcentral's name for it is "partial 16S ribosomal RNA". It matches the Rfam family "Bacterial small subunit ribosomal RNA", at positions 524 to 776 of the family's 1533-position model. The record is from RNAcentral.
UACGAAGGGGGCUAGCGUUGCUCGGAAUCACUGGGCGUAAAGGGUGCGUAGGCGGGUUUUUAAGUCAGAGGUGAAAUCCUGGAGCUCAACUCCAGAACUGCCUUUGAUACUGAGAAUCUUGAGUAUGGGGGAGGUGAGUGGAACUGCGAGUGUAGAGGUGAAAUUCGUAGAUAUUCGCAAGAACACCAGUUGCGAAGGCGGCCGACUGGACACAUAUUGACGCUGAGGCUCGAAAGCAUGGGGAGCAAACAGG